UAGGGAAUCUUCCACAAUGGACGAAAGUCUGAUGGAGCAACGCCGCGUGAGUGAAGAAGGGUUUCGGCUCGUAAAACUCUGUUGUUAAAGAAGAACAUAUCUGAGAGUAACUGUUCAGGUAUUGACGGUAUUUAACCAGAAAGCCACGGCUAACUACGUGCCU
Molecule: ribosomal RNA, 163 nt
Filed under: uncultured bacterium
Lineage: Bacteria
Description: partial 16S rRNA
Rfam family: Bacterial small subunit ribosomal RNA
Source: RNAcentral